Peromyscus eremicus (cactus mouse) is the source of this 240-nucleotide long non-coding RNA. RefSeq lists it as uncharacterized. The transcript has 2 exons. NCBI's taxonomy places the organism in Eukaryota, Metazoa, Chordata, Mammalia, Rodentia, Cricetidae. The record is from RefSeq and is a predicted model, not a curated record.
CAGAGAUGGCUCUGAUCUGACUGAGCCAAACUGUUUCUUUCUGCCCUGAUCUGAGCCAUCUUUCCCUAGUUCUAGGCUCCAGGGUCAGGGCAAGGAGAGAUUUUAUACCUGCAUUUAAAAUGGUGAAGCUUAAGUAUUUCCUAAAGCUCAGCAGAAAACUCUGAAGAACAGCAGCAAAGCAAAGUAUAUUGAAAAGUAUGGACAUUUUAGAAGCACAUAAAACCCAGAUUCAAAUUCUGA